Molecule: ribosomal RNA, 497 nt
Filed under: uncultured bacterium
Lineage: Bacteria
Description: partial 16S ribosomal RNA
Rfam family: Bacterial small subunit ribosomal RNA
Source: RNAcentral
GAUGAACGCUGGCGGCGUGCCUAAUACAUGCAAGUCGAGCGAACAGACGAGGAGCUUGCUCCUCUGACGUUAGCGGCGGACGGGUGAGUAACACGUGGAUAACCUACCUAUAAGACUGGGAUAACUUCGGGACACCGGAGCUAAUACCGGAUAAUAUAUUGAACCGCAUGGUUCAAUAGUGAAAGACGGUUUUGCUGUCACUUAUAGAUGGAUCCGCGCCGCAUUAGCUAGUUGGUAAGGUAACGGCUUACCAAGGCAACGAUGCGUAGCCGACCUGAGAGGGUGAUCGGCCACACUGGAACUGAGACACGGUCCAGACUCCUACGGGAGGCAGCAGUAGAGAAUCUUCCGCAAUGGGCGAAAGCCUGACGGAGCAACGCCGCGUGAGUGAUGAAGGUCUUCGGAUCGUAAAACUCUGUUAUUAGGGAAGAACAAAUGUGUAAGUAACUAUGCACGUCUUGACGGUACCUAAUCAGAAAGCCACGGCUAACUACGUG